This 85-nucleotide transfer RNA is filed under the name Actinomycetota bacterium. RNAcentral's name for it is "tRNA-Ser". It matches the Rfam family "tRNA". Rfam says of the family: Transfer RNA (tRNA) molecules are approximately 80 nucleotides in length. Lineage: Bacteria; Bacillati; Actinomycetota. The record is from RNAcentral.
GGAGGGUUCGCAUAGUGGCCGAGUGCAUGCGCCUUGAAAGCGCACGACGGGUGACCGUCCGUGGGUUCGAAUCCCACACCCUCCG